RNAcentral lists this long non-coding RNA (1704 nucleotides) under Anas platyrhynchos platyrhynchos (common mallard). RNAcentral describes it as "lncRNA (ENSAPLG00000019869.1)". The record is from RNAcentral. Lineage: Eukaryota; Metazoa; Chordata; Aves; Anseriformes; Anatidae.
CCUUCCCUUCCCUUCCCUUCCCUUCCCUUCCCUUCCCUUCCCUUCCCCUCCCCUAUUAGAUGUCCCCACCAUGUAAUUCCCAUUCCUCACUUUGCUCUCACACUCAGACCUUCUCCCCUCUUCUCUUCCAGCCACCGUGCAUCUCGUGCCCUGCCAGAUGGUCUCCAAGGAAGGUAACUCCUCUGGGGUCUCCUUAAACAGGGGCUGAGCUGCUGGGGGCACGGCUGGAUUUGGGGUCCCACAGGCGUGACUUUCUGGGGGACCCUCAGCCUCAUUCCCCCUCCCCAUAAGAGCCCAGUGGUGAAAUUGGGUGCUGGGGCUUUUUCUUUAUCUCACUUUGUUGAAGUCCUGCCUCGUGUCAGCACCCUGCUGAUGAGUGGAAACCCCUCGAGACCCAACCCCUUCCCGGCCCUCUCCUUCCCACACCUGCUCCUCCCAGUUUGGGUGUGGGACGAUGGUAUUUUGGUAGGGUUUGGUGGAGGCCAAACGUUUUUUUCCAAUGACUGCUGUGGAGGAGCAUCAGCGAUGGGUUUUACCCUUCUCCCUUAGCCUUUUCAACCCCCCUUCCCCAUUUCCUAUUUUCAUAAAUUACCAAGUUGCAGAAAAAAAAAAAUAAUAAUUUGCUUGAAAGGACAUGAAGGACAUUUUGGCUGGCAUGACAAAGCUGCCCAGGGUGUGGGAAGGGUUUUUGCAGUCUCCUUUCUUUCAUCACUUCCCUCAGCAGGAUGCAACCUUGUGCUGAAUCACAAGGAGAUAAAAUGAGUCAUAGCCCAGAGACAUUUCUGCUUUAUGAGGUCCCCUCUGUGCUUUAUUGUAUUCCUUGAAAUGCAAGCCAGUUUCUUUUAUUUGCGUGGAGUUAGUCCCUCCUGUCUCUGCUCCUCGCACCUCACCUCCGUCCCCCCUGCCUGUUUCCUUCUUUAUCCACCAGCCGCAGUCCCUGCCCCGACCCUCUGGGUGCUGCAGGGACAGAAGGAAUAUUUCUUCGGAGAUGUUGUCACGCUGGUGUGCACCACUCCCCGCAACAUCACUGGGAGGCUGAUGUACCAAAUUUUUGGCGACGGUGGCUGGGCAAAUUCAGGAUUUAGCUCGACGAAUAACUACACGUUUGAGUUCGUCCUCUCCCGAAUGCAAAACAGGGGGCCACAUCUCUGCAGAUAUUCCAUCGGGCAAGGUCCGAAGCAGCUCACAUCCCCAACCAGUGCAGAACUGGUGAUCAAGAUUGGAGGCAAGAGCUGCUUCUUUCUUCUGCGGCUCCUGGUUGUGGGUGGCUGCUUCCUCACCAUCAACAGCCUCAUCCUCCUCUUCUUCUGGGCCCGGGGGAGAAGCAAAGAUGCUUCGUUUCUGUGUGGAGCCAGCCCUGCUGGGAUCUCCCAGCUGGAUGCCAGAUCCCCAUACACCCUUCAGGAGGAUAAUAAGUACGAGGAACACUAAGGAGAGGAAGGUGCUGUGAGCGAUUCCACCCCCUAAAGACUGCUCCCUGCUGAAGACAUCCCAAAAGACUGGUGUGCAGCCAAACGAGUGCUCAGCUGUGGGAAAAGAAAGCAAGAAUCGGUUCCUGGGAGGACGAAAGAAGUAGAAAAGGGACAUUUCACUUGGUAAAGGGGAGGGAGGAGACACCGACGUUGUUGGGAAGGGUGAUUGUGAAAGAGAAAAUGAAGGAAGACCAGGAAUAAAAAUGGAAAUUGUGAGAAAAAAAAAAAAAAA